UUCUUUUUAUAAGUAUAACGCUUUUUGGUUUUAUUUUGUUUUUGUUUAAGUUUCUCCUUUUAUUCCGAAUCACCCAGGUGAAGACGCGAGAGCGGCUGCGAUUGCGUGAGUGAGGAACACAUCUAUCUCUGCUGUGUUCUUCCCAAAGGGUGAGCUUGGUUUACCUCUUCGCCUCUACCUGGUGUUCUCUUCUCCUCACGGGCUGGGGGCCCAGCGUGCCCCUGCAUCAUGUUUUGCUCAGUAAAACCAAGUAGCGAUUGGACUAGAUGCGUAUACGCCUGACAACGUCUCGCUUGUCAUGGGGCUGGUCGGCCCGUUGGGUGCCUUCCUGUCCGGAGGGUCUAAUCGGCUGCAGUGAGACCCGUCUUCGGUUGGGUCAGGUUGUGGGGAGGAGCUUUUCGGUCCUCUGCUCCUUACCUGAGAUGAAUCUCAGUUUUCCCCACAAGAAUUACUGCCAAGCCAAAGUGUGUUUACUGAACAAAACAUGGAGACCAGUUCAGACGAGGGCUUCAGCCCCGACGUUCUGAAACCAGUGUUGUUUACACCACAGAACCAAGUAACACGCUGACGUUAAAGAGGAGACAAAACAUGAUGCCUCUCAGGAACGUGUAGGGCUGCGAGGCUGUGACUUGGGCGGGUGGCAGGGCUUUUCUUCACAUGGUCUCCUCCGUUCUCGAGAAAGUAGGUGGGUAAUGUAUGCAAACGGGUAGCUCUCCCAACUGGUCCUUUUAGGCCUGGUGUGUGUCCAGGAUUUUACAUCCAACUGAGUGCAAAGUUGGACUAGCCGUUUGCAUAAUUGAAUGAAAUCUGGCUUCUCUUUCUGUUGAGCAUUUUGUCCAUUUGAGGAGAAAAAUUGUACGUGUCCCACAGUCGUGUAGAGCUGGACUCUGAAUAUGGUCCAAUGUCCAGUUGCAGCCAUAUUAGUGUCCGCUAGAGGGUGGAUGUGCUACUGCACAGAUUCCCCCCCUUCCCAGUUAAUUUGAGAUUCUCUAGUAUCCUAACUGGUUGCGUGUUCUUUAAGUUUAGCUUGUUUUAAACUUCCGCUUUAAGAAGACUGAACUCUGUUUGGACCUGGAUUACAGUACUUUACAGCAUUAAAUGAACACUUUAAAGCUCAACAAAUCUGCCACAGCUCAUUAAGCCUUCUGUGAGUCCAUUAGAUCCACUUGGAGACCUUUUGUGUCUCCAGCUUGCCUUUGUAGAUAAAUACUUGCUGAAAUGUCUUUGACAGGGAGGUGUGUGAGGAAGAUUGUUUUCCCAGAUUAGUGUGUGUCAGGGUAGAUUCAUGGAGGGAAGUGCACUCGUCGUCUGCAAGUUCUCCCUUCAAAGGAAAAACCACGUUUCUACCGUAUCCUUUGGCUCAGCUUUGAGACAGGUGUAGCUGUGUUUGUCUCUGCCUCUUAAAGCUAACGGAAUAAUGACGCUCAUAACAUGUUUGUGUUUGAAGUUGUCAGAUCGCUCGCACCUCGGAGAGAAAAACACACCGGAUUUUGUAGAACUGAUGUUCUAUGACACUUCGCUAAGAAACACGUGGACCUCAUUCCCAGUGUUUUAGCCUGGAAUCUGAAAGCCACUGCCCACAUAUUCACAUCAAGUUUAAGGUUUAAUGUUGUAAUUUAUGUAGGGGUAAGUAUGUUUGCAUCACAUUGCCUUGACUUAAUUUGGUUUCUUCAAUGGUAUUAAUCUCAGUUAUAUCAAUUACAACGUAAAAGAGAUGCUCCUUACACACUCUUCCAAACCUCCACCAGUUACAUGGGGAAGCUCUUUUUGCAGGAUCAAAGUGGAAACAUAGAACCUACAAAUACAUAUUGCUCUUUGGGCCCUUUUGCUGGGCACCAUGUGGUUUUACCCAUGGAGACCCAAGCUGGCUCUUGGCAUGUUUGUGUGUCCUUUCCACUGACCCUGGAACAGUUGAAACUUCUUUAUGUUGAGCCCUAACCCUCUUUGUCAUGUUUGGUUUUCUUUCAGCCAGUGUUUUAGGUACAUCUGCGAAGUUCCAGGGCUGCUUCCUUUUACACGUGUACCGUAACCUAUGUUUGGCUUGCUUUGUUGCUGAAAUUGUGUGAAUUUACCUCAAUGAUGAAGUUUGCUCAGUUCAGUAGUUUCACGUGGAAUGUGAUAUGAAUGUGUGAUGCAAUAUCUGCGUAUCUCUAAUAUUGCUCUUCUGAUCGCUACAAACGAGCAAAGGCCAAAAAAAGCACUGAUAUUGUAGUGAGCUCUGACCUGAUCUCCCCUUGAAACUUUAAUGGAGGAUCCUGAAGAAUUUCACUAAAUGUCAUAUUUGGGGCUGCAAACUUGACAGACUGCAGGUCAAUAAUUGUUAAUAUAAUGGCAAAAACAGAUUGUACAGAACAGUUUCUGAAUUCCUCGGACACAAACGUAGACUGUAAUGUGGCAGUUUAAAUCUUUCCUGUCACAGCCCCUCAGCUUUAUUUCUUGACACCGACAAUAAAUUGAUAUUCAACUGGAAUCCAAAAGCAAUCCAUUGUCAAGUUAUCCAUUUUUGAACAUUUCCUGCGUAAACAUUUGAAAGCUGAGCCGUCGCAGGCUAAGUGGAGCCAGCUUCUUGUCACGUUUGGGAUCCAAAACGGCUUUUCCAAAUCAUUCAGGAGAAACAGGAAAAAAGAAUCUGAAUAAUUUCAGAUGACCUCCAAGAAGGAUGUAAGUAUUGACAUUUUUGUAUUUUAAUCCCUUGCUUUUGUCACCUGACUUAUCUAUCAGGAAAGAGCGCGUGCAGAGGCCCCGACCCAGCCUUGUCACCAUGUGGACUUGCUAGGUGGGGCUUCGGACGAGCGGAUUCACAGGACUUCUGGGGUCAUACAAAAUCCAGAGAUGCGCUUGUGUAGGAGUGCGAAUACGUUUCAGUUGGAUCUGCACCUCAAGUCAGGGAUAUUGGCUGGAACUGGAGUGCGCUCUACCCUGCAGUGUAAGUGCUCUGUUGGCUUCCUUGGACCCUGUUAUGUGUGAAAUGGCCCCACUUUGGCUCCCUCCUGCCAACAGGCCCGUGCUGUGACUGCGUUCGUCAUGCUUGGUCUCUUUAAUCGGCGCUCGUUCACGAAAAGCUGCCAAAAGGCGAAGAGGAAAACAGCGGCGCUCACCAGGCAUCUCGUCGAGAGAGAAGGACAGAAAGAGGUAGAACCAAACUGCUGCGGGACCAAGAAAACGUUUUUUCCUGAGCUUAGAGAUGUCUCCCAUUCAUGUUGAGGCUUAGCAGUGCAGCGCCCCCUGUGUCUAUUCACAGGGAGAGCCUCAGCUGCACUUUGUUAGUGGGAUUACGGAGGGUGUUCCUUGCGCAGCCUGUUGAUGGGGCGCUGCCUCGCAGGAAGUGGCAUCGGUUUCAAAGCAGGUGCCCGUCCUACUGGAAGUUUUAUCGAGUACAGUUUUACCGUUUAUGCUGGUGUACAGCUGUAUGAGGAGCUGGUUAGAUGGAGCCCUCUAGCUUCAUGGUUAGUGCUGCCCUGCAUGGUCUCUGUUACGUUGGACACUCGAGUCGUGUUUUCUUCAGCGGGGUUUGCGGAACAUAGUCCUGUUUGUUACUCUACUAACUCUUUUCUGGAGGGCACUGUCAUUUCAGUCCCACACAAGUAGUCUGCUUGUUUGCUCUCGCAAAAAAAAGAAAAAAAAAUUACCCACCGUAUUAAAUGGACUGGAAGCCCAUUAAGUCGAACCGGUCCCCACCCCUCAAGGUCACGUCAUUGAGGCUUCUAUGCAGGACUUUUUUAAUUACUUGUGCCUUGGAAGUUAUUCUGAUUACAGUUUCUUUGGUUUUUGUUUAAGACAAAUGUAUAAUUAAAAUAUGAUGAAUUGAACAUGGGAAUGUAGGUCAGUUCAGCUGAGGGCACAUUCUUUGAAAUGGCUCCAUCCGAUUGUGGCCGGCUCUAGAGAUUUAUCUCAGUUGAUGUCAGGGGAUAGUUCUCCCAGUUUGUGUAAGGUAUGUUCUUUAUUAUUUGGUCUGAUUUAAUUAGUUGCCAGCAAAACAGUGUUUUCCCUUGUUGCUGCUCUUGUCUGUAGCCUGAUUACAGAAACGUCCUCUGUUCUACCAGGACAGAUUAAUCCCACAGGCCGGGGACUCCAGCUACAGCACUUUUCUCCUGGGACGGAUUGAACAUCUUCAUGGGGUGGGGUGUGUGGCCUCCGUUACAUAAUUUGGUCUUGAGAAGUAUACUGGAUUGAUGUAUCGCAGCAGUUGGAGUGGUGCCCAGGUUACCCAUCCUGCCUUGGAGAGCGAGUGUCUUUCAGUCUUUCAGCUCCCUCCUGUUUGGAGCAGCACAGAAUAAUGCGGUAAGGGUUCCAGUUACAUUGCAGGCCAGGCCUGCCAUUCUACCCUCAAGGUGGUACUUAAGAUGUAUUGCCUUAUGAAACAACAGCCAGCAGUGCAAUUGUAUUAAAAAAAAAAAAAAAAAAAAGUGUGCUCUACUCGGCAGACAUAAAGCGGACAAUAAAAGUGCAUUCUUCUGUGGGCCGGUUUUCCACAGCCGUUGUCAUGCUCCAGCUUUCAGACUUUCACUCUGAAAGAAGGUGAUUCACAUGCGCAGUGCUUUUCCUGCUCACUUUAGGGCUCACAUGUUGAUUUAUCCCACAGGCUGUUUUGUGUUGUACUUUUCAAUUCAGUGUCUGUUUUUUGGGGGGAAAAACCCUGUAUGUACCUCAACAAACAAUAAAAACAUGUAACAUCCCAAACUUUGUGUUGGAUCGUGGUCAGUUGGUGAUCAUGUUUACAGCGCCGCAGUGCAGCCUCCAGUAAGAAACUAUUUCCUGCUGAGGGAUUUCGGGAACGAAUUUCCCAACAUUUUUACCGUGGUACAUAUCCCAGAAAUUUGCCCCGUUAUUCAUGUGCUUCUUUUGAGCACUAGGGGGCAGUGUAAUACAGCGCUUGACCGGCACCUUCCUCUUGUGUUUUUUCCUGCUCCUCCUCGAACCCAAC
This is a long non-coding RNA of Scleropages formosus (Asian bonytongue), 4924 nucleotides long. RefSeq lists it as uncharacterized. The transcript is spliced from 3 exons. Lineage: Eukaryota; Metazoa; Chordata; Actinopteri; Osteoglossiformes; Osteoglossidae. The record is from RefSeq and is a predicted model, not a curated record.